CAACUCCACUAGUAUGGCAACAGACUUACUGGCCUCCUCAGCAACAAUUGCGUCCAUCCCAGUUUUUCUGUGACACUCUUCCAACUGGCCCCCACCUUCUGCAGUCGAAGUGCCAGAGUGGGGAAACAGCCUUGAUACCAGGUAGUCCACCUGAUUUGGAUCAUGAGGGCCACA
This is a long non-coding RNA of Malaclemys terrapin pileata, 174 nucleotides long. RefSeq lists it as uncharacterized. The record is from RefSeq and is a predicted model, not a curated record. The transcript is spliced from 3 exons. Lineage: Eukaryota; Metazoa; Chordata; Testudines; Emydidae.